Molecule: long non-coding RNA, 1720 nt
Organism: Cydia fagiglandana
Lineage: Eukaryota; Metazoa; Arthropoda; Insecta; Lepidoptera; Tortricidae
Exons: 2
Source: RefSeq, a predicted model, not a curated record
UUUUGCGCUCGGAUGUCCAAAUUUGAAAUCUGAAAUAAACGAAUGGUGAAAUGCUCCUCCGUAAAAUUAUAGGUACGAUCCCGAAUGUGCGCGGUUGGACGUUUGCGCGCCGCGGCCGGUCCGAGGAGCUCGCGAUAGGAAAGUAUCGAAAGCGAAAAGCUAGCCAAAAUACCGUAGGAAAUUUAAGGGAUCUAUUAUUGAAUCGAAUAUAAUUUAUCCUUGCGAUGAAUUUACUCGGCUCGAUACACAUUCUAAAAUCAGUUUUGACGCGUAUGAACCUUAAAACUACCACGAUACGGUUGCUUUUUAAAAGACAUUGUUACCUUGCCACUUAGCUAAUACGGAAGCUAACCGCUCCCACAAAAGCGACGAUGACUUAAGGCGAGAUUCCACCAGUGUGCUGCACUGUACGACACAAGCAUAUUUAGUACAAAAAUGCUUGUACCGUACAGUACUGCACACUGGUGGAAUCCCGCCUUUAUGUUUAACAGUUUUAAAAAUCAUUUUAAAACAUCAUAUACUAUACCUUAUUUCGGCUAGUUUUUUUAGGUCAUACAAACUAUCAAUCGUCGUUGUUUGCCAGACAUUUGAAGGGGUCGGGAAAGAACUAAGACAUUAAAAUACGAGUCAAAAAUAUCCCAAUAUAAUAUACUGAUGUAGAUAUACAGGGUACUGCUCCUUUGUCACACUGCCGCGCUAAACAUAUCUGUCCAACUUUAUUAGAUAAAGAAAAUCGGUUGUAUACCUUGAUCUCAUACGAAAUACGAUCAAUAAUUUAAUAUUAAUGAGUUUUAUAAUCUAGUUCCUCCUCAUUCACGCGGCAUCGUUAUUAGCGCCAUUUAAUAAAGUAAAUUGAUAUCAAAUUAAAUUUGGCGAAGCGGGCUAACUAAUUAACUCUAGUUAGCUAUAUCUCAAAAACAAAUGAAUUUUGAAAAAUGUAUUGUUUUGUUUAUGUGUAUAUGUUUGUAAUCAAUUUUGAUGUGAGAUACCGCUAUGAGGGCAGUAGAGCCAAGAAAAGUCUGCAACGAUUUUGAUAACACACGCAGUGCAAGUGUUAUUUAAAAAAAUGAAACUUAUGUGAAAUUACUAUGCAUAGAUUUGUCGCUUAACUUCAAACUCGGGUAACUCGGGUUAUAUCCAUUCGACCCUCUCAGCAAAUAUCUACCCCCUUUUCAUUAUACCAAAAUCGCAAUCAGACAGAUGUAUUUACCCGACUUUGAAGUUAAGAGACGUAAAGUCAAAGAAAACUUGUAGAUGGCGCUGUACGAUCGAGUAGCAUUUUUUUCAGCACCAUCUAUUUCAGCUGCGUUUCACUAAAAGUUUCGUUAAAUGUAAUUAAUUUUGGGCAACUUCCGCUGACCCCUUCAUCUGCGUAGUAUAUUUGUGUAGGGUUGUCAAAAAUGUGUUCUCUCGGAUUAGGAAAGAUGCUAUAAUAUGUUUCUAAGUGUAUGCGGGUGAUAGGUGGCGACGAAAUGCCAAUUUCGCUUAUUAUCUUUGAUAUUGUACACAAAAUAAAUAAUUGACAGAAUCUGAUUGCGUCACUUUGUAGAGAUUACCUACAAAAUCGAGUGUAUGUGUUUUGUACAUAAUGAUAAAUUUGUAUCAUGUAUAUACAUAUUAUUUAGUUGUAAAGAUAAUUUCGAUUAUCAUUUUUUUUUAAUUAUUUUAAGAGCCACAUCUCUGUUGUAUAGUUCGAUAAAUAUAUUGUUUUGAUUGUUCA